AACCUGUAACCGGUACGGGCUCUGAGAGGAGGAGCCCGGAGAUGGGCACUGAGACAAGGGCCCAGGCCCUAUGGGGCGCAGCAGGCGCGAAACCUCUGCAAUAGGCGAAAGCUUGACAGGGUUACUCUGAGUGAUUUCCGUUAAGGAGAUCUUUUGGCACCUCUAAAAAUGGUGCAGAAUAAGGGGUGGGCAAGUCUGGUGUCAGCCGCCGCGGUAAUACCAGCACCCCGAGUGGUCG
Molecule: ribosomal RNA, 238 nt
Filed under: Chloropicon mariensis
Lineage: Eukaryota; Viridiplantae; Chlorophyta; Chloropicophyceae; Chloropicales; Chloropicaceae
Description: partial Archaeal small subunit ribosomal RNA
Rfam family: Archaeal small subunit ribosomal RNA
Source: RNAcentral